This 505-nucleotide unclassified non-coding RNA is filed under the name Penicillium restingae. RNAcentral describes it as "sequence contains 18S rRNA gene, ITS1, 5.8S rRNA gene, ITS2, 28S rRNA gene". Lineage: Eukaryota; Fungi; Ascomycota; Eurotiomycetes; Eurotiales; Aspergillaceae. The record is from RNAcentral.
GGUCACCUGAAGAAAGGAUGAUGGGUGUCGGCAGGCGCCGGCCGGGCCUACAGAGCGGGUGACAAAGCCCCAUACGCUCGAGGACCGGACACGGUGCCGCCGCUGCCUUUCGGGCCCGUCCCCCGGGUAGGGGGACGGAGGCCCAACACACAAGCCGUGCUUGAGGGCAGCAAUGACGCUCGGACAGGCAUGCCCCCCGGAAUACCAGGGGGCGCAAUGUGCGUUCAAAGACUCGAUGAUUCACUGAAUUCUGCAAUUCACAUUACUUAUCGCAUUUCGCUGCGUUCUUCAUCGAUGCCGGAACCAAGAGAUCCGUUGUUGAAAGUUUUAACAAAUUUUUGCUAUUCGCUCAGACUGCAAACUUCAGACAGCGUUCAAAGGGGUCUUCGGCAGGCGCGGGCCCGGGGGCGGAGGCCCCCCGGCGGCCGUGAGGCGGGCCUGCCGAAGCAACAAGGUACAAUAAAACACGGGUGGGAGGUUGGACCCGGAGGGCCCUCACUCAGUA